UUUGCGUGGCACAAGAGGAGUCCGGGGGCCAGUUUCCUUCGGUGGCUGUUGGAAGGGGUGAGACGUUACAAGAGAGCCCAAAUGAAAAGCAUCAGUACCAGAGGGCUGAUUUGGAUGGAGCUCUGCAACCCACCAUGCUGUGUGUUCAAACCCUGCUCUUCAAGUUCCUACCAUCCAUCUAUCCACCAUCUGCAGCAGAGCCACCACAAGCCAUAGGAGUACCUCUGAGGUUUUUUGAAGAUACGUAUGCUGAGGUGUAGAAAUAGACAGGCAGGUGCAAAAAGGAAGAGGAUGCUCAUUGACCUGCUGCCAUCGGCCAUCCUUCCAGCCAUCGGUCCCCUGCCACCUGAAGCUGAAUUUCUUGCCAGGCAUGUGGUAUUUCCAGCCCUACUUUGUUGACUAAAGCAA
This is a non-coding RNA of Phalacrocorax carbo (great cormorant), 408 nucleotides long. Lineage: Eukaryota; Metazoa; Chordata; Aves; Suliformes; Phalacrocoracidae. The record is from RefSeq and is a predicted model, not a curated record.